UAGCGUACGGACUUAAUUGGAUUGAGCUUGGUAUGGAAACCUACUAAGUGAGAACUUUCAAAUUCAGAGAAACCCUGGAAUUAAAAAUGGGCAAUCCUGAGCCAAAUCCUGUUUUACGAAAAUAAACAAAGGGAUAGGUGCAGAGACUCAAUGGAAGCUGUUCUAACAAAUGGGGUUUGACUACCUUUGCGUUAGUAAAGGAAUCCUUCUAUCGAAACUACAGAAAGGAUGAAAGAAUUGUUGUGAAUUAGUAUUGAUUCUAAGUUGAAGAAGGAAUCGAAUACAAUAUUCAUUAAUAAAAUCAUUCACCCCAUAGUUUGAUAAAUCUUUUGAACAACUGGUUAAUCGGACAAGAAUAAAGAUAGAGUCCCGUUCUACAUGUCAAUACUGACAACAAUGAAAUUUAUAGUAAGAGGAAAAUCCGCGACUUUUAAAAUCGUGAGGGUUCAAGUCCCUCU
RNAcentral lists this non-coding RNA (458 nucleotides) under Lasiosiphon kraussianus. RNAcentral describes it as "Gnidia kraussiana partial transfer RNA-Leu(UAA)". The stretch from base 5 to 391 matches the Rfam family "Group I catalytic intron". From Rfam's summary of the family: Group I catalytic introns are large self-splicing ribozymes. They catalyse their own excision from mRNA, tRNA and rRNA precursors in a wide range of organisms. Lineage: Eukaryota; Viridiplantae; Streptophyta; Magnoliopsida; Malvales; Thymelaeaceae. The record is from RNAcentral.